This 468-nucleotide ribosomal RNA is filed under the name uncultured bacterium. Its description in RNAcentral is "partial 16S ribosomal RNA". It matches the Rfam family "Bacterial small subunit ribosomal RNA", at positions 28 to 507 of the family's 1533-position model. The record is from RNAcentral.
GACGAACGCUGGCGGCGUGCUUAACACAUGCAAGUCGAACGGAAAGGCCCUGCUUUGGUGGGGUGCCCGGGGGGCGAAGGGGGGAGUAACAGGUGAGUAACCUGCCCUUGACUUUGGGAUAACUUAAGGAAACUGGGCCUAAUACCGGAUAGGAGCUCCGGCUGCAGGGUGGGGGUGGGAAAGUUUCGGCGGUUGGGGAUGGACUCGCGGCUUAUCAGCUUGUUGGUGGGGUAGUGGCUUACCAAGGCUUUGACGGGUAGCCGGCCUGAGAGGGUGACCGGCCACAUUGGGACUGAGAUACGGCCCAGACUCCUACGGGAGGCAGCAGUGGGGAAUAUUGCACAAUGGGCGGAAGCCUGAUGCAGCAACGCCGCGUGCGGGAUGACGGCCUUCGGGUUGUAAACCGCUUUCGCCUGUGACGAAGCGUGAGUGACGGUAAUGGGUAAAGAAGCACCGGCUAACUACGUG